RNAcentral lists this ribosomal RNA (306 nucleotides) under uncultured bacterium. RNAcentral describes it as "partial 16S ribosomal RNA". It matches the Rfam family "Bacterial small subunit ribosomal RNA", at positions 507 to 808 of the family's 1533-position model. The record is from RNAcentral.
GACAGCAGUAGCACGGGAAUACGAAGGGGGCUAGCGUUGUUCGGAUUUACUGGGCGUAAAGCGCACGUAGGCGGAUCCUUAAGUCAGAGGUGAAAUCCCAAGGCUCAACCUUGGAACUGCCUUUGAUACUGGGGAUCUCGAGUCCGGGAGAGGUGAGUGGAACUGCGAGUGUAGAGGUGAAAUUCGUAGAUAUUCGCAAGAACACCAGUGGCGAAGGCGGCUCACUGGCCCGGUACUGACGCUGAGGUGCGAGAGCGUGGGGAGCAAACAGGAUUAGAUACCCCAGUAGUCCCUGUCUCUUAUACA